This 776-nucleotide ribosomal RNA is filed under the name uncultured Neocallimastigales. Its description in RNAcentral is "partial large subunit ribosomal RNA". It matches the Rfam family "Eukaryotic large subunit ribosomal RNA", at positions 22 to 621 of the family's 3401-position model. The record is from RNAcentral. Lineage: Eukaryota; Fungi; Neocallimastigomycota; Neocallimastigomycetes; Neocallimastigales.
AUAUCAGUCAUGCAUAGCAUAUCAAUAAGCGGAGGAAAAGAAACUAACAAGGAUUCCCUUAGUAACAGGCGAGUGAAGCGGGAAGAGCUCAAAUUUGAAAUCUUCAAGGUUUUACCUUGACGAAUUGUAGUUUAAAGAAGUGUUUUCUGUUGAAGUUUUGGUAAAAGUUCUUUGGAAUAGGACAUCAUAGAGGGUGAGAAUCCCGUAUUUGACCAUUACUUUCAGCUUUGUGAUACACUUUCAAAGAGUCGGAUUGUUUGGGAAUGCAGUCCAAAAUGGGUGGUAAAUUUCAUCUAAAGCUAAAUAUUGGCGAGAGACCGAUAGCGAACAAGUACCGUGAGGGAAAGAUGAAAAGAACUUUGAAAAGAGAGUUAAACAGUACGUGAAAUUGUCAAAAGGGAAGCGUUUGACACCAGUGUUGUUUUCUCGAAAAUCAAUUAAAAAGAGUUGGAUUUUGUGUUGUAUUGACUUUAUCAGCUUUCUUCACUCUUUUCCAGCUUUUUUUAAUGCACUUUUCGUUUAACAAGUCAACAUCAGUUUCUUUUGUUGUAAAAAGGUCAUUGGAAGGUGGCUUUCUCUUCGGAGAAAGUGUUUAUAGCCUUUGACUCAUGCAAUCGGAGAGACUGAGGUCUGCAGCGUAGAUCCUUCGGGGUUAGAUACAUUUGUGCUAAGUUAUAGCUUUUCAUAGACAGACUUGUUGACUAUGUUUAGUCUUGUAGCUUACUCGCUUAUGCUAUUUUACCUACGCUUAGGAUGUUGAACUCUAUCACACACAG